Homo sapiens (human) is the source of this 419-nucleotide long non-coding RNA. The record is from Ensembl. NCBI's taxonomy places the organism in Eukaryota, Metazoa, Chordata, Mammalia, Primates, Hominidae.
GGGAGGCUGCGUCGUCCUAUCACAGUUUGUCUUCUCCUGAGGAAGUGGAUGCCAUGUGUCACUUUGCAGAUGGAUCAAGUGCAGGAGGUGCCUGUUGGAGACGCAGAGCUCUGCAGCAGCAGGUGAGCUGAUGCUGCAACCUGCUAAACGCCGCUCCUGCGGAGCGCCAGGGCCCAGAGUGCACAUGGCUCUCAGGCUCCGUGAAAAGCUUGCAGUGAGCUCAGCCACUGAAAAGUCACUACGAAGAUGGAAAGCAAAAUGAAAACCGAGUCCUCGGUACCCUAUGUUUAUCUGUCUCUAAGAGAACAUCCUUGGGUUUAUUUAUGAUUUGAGUACUUCAUAAGAAAAGUAGUAUAAAAUAGAAAAUAAUGUGUUGAUGUCCUAUAUAAGUGAAUCUACUCAAUACAAUUUAUAAAGCA